Molecule: long non-coding RNA, 314 nt
Organism: Herpailurus yagouaroundi (jaguarundi)
Lineage: Eukaryota; Metazoa; Chordata; Mammalia; Carnivora; Felidae
Exons: 2
Source: RefSeq, a predicted model, not a curated record
CAGUGGGAGGGAUACUGCAUGAUUCUCAGGUUAGGUCAUAAAAGGUGAUACAGUUUCUGCCUUAUUAUUCCUCUUCUCAUGUGCGACUUGGGAGCCAUGAGUUGACAUAUCAGAAGUCAGUCUACACCAAAGCUGCCAUGCUGGAGAAACCAUGAUGAACAAACAUGUGAGUGAACCAGUCUGCAGAUGAUUCCAGCCCUCAGUCUUCAAGCUGCCCUAGCUGAUGUCAACGAGAAGAGACAAGCUUCCCUCCACCAAGUCCUUCCCAAACUACAGAUUCAGGAGGAAAAUAAAUGUUAUUUUUAAGUCACUAA